UCUGCAAGUACGAAAGUGGUUGUAAGUAUAUUGCAGAUUUUCGUGUCCAGUUAGUAAACGAGGAUAAACAAUCUCAGGUUUCGGAAAUAUCCGAAAUUUACCAAUUUCGACAAUAAAGUCGUUGGUCGUACACGGGAGUGUUUGUGGCGGUUAAUUUUUAUCCAAGGUCGAAAUUCUUUGCCCUACAAUAGGUAAUCCCACAGCGUUGAAGGGCAGUUUGGCCAUGUUUAGCUCGCGCCAAGGUAGAACAGCUAUUCUUCGACAACAUCGUCUUCAGUUUGCUUUUGGCCAGGGAUGGCAGAGGAGAGCGCUGCGAAAUACAAAGGUACCAGACAUUGGCGCGAGCUUGACAGUCGACCGUUUUCCCAACUUUACCAGGAUCAGAGGGAUACUUUUGUAAUUUGACACAUACCUUCGGGAAGAAUGACCGUCGCUAUGCACGACGCGCCAGCUACGACCAUGCAGAGACACAGGGGCCACCGUCUACCCCAACGAUCCAUGACCACCCAGCACGCCAUGUAGCUUGGUAUUUCUGCCAACGAUGAGAAGAAGAAACUCAAAUGCUCUUCACUUCCAAGUGCUGGCCCAUAAUAUGAGAGGCCAACAUAAACCAUGUUGUUGGCAAACCUAAAAACAUGCAGAAAAAUCGUUGAUUGGUAGGUUCAUCGAUUAGAAGGGUAUCUGGCAAAGCAUUGGUCAUAGUUGAUAAAUGGUCCCGAUAUUACGACACUCCUAAAUUAUAAUUGUGUAAUUCGGGUUUGUACAGAGAUCAUGCUUUUCAAAUGCUAACCGAUCCCAUCAAUUUUACAGACGUGAAAUAGACAGGGAAAUAUAGUUGACAUGGAAUUCGGGAUAUUUUGCAAACGGGGGAUUCGAAUUGAAAAUUUUAAAACUUGGGCUACCUUUCUCAAAAUGCUUUCUUUCUAUCUACCUAUGCACAGUUUGGAGAGAAUUAUGAUAGAUAUUUUUAAAGACUAAUAAAAAAAACACACGACCUUUGGACUUCAUCUUCCAAGUUGACUACACGUACCACCAGUUGUAUCGUGAUUCGAAUAGUUGGUACGCGUUUUAUUAAUACACCUCAAAAUUACCAGUUCAGAGUUAUCAGGCACGUUUUCAGACGCAUAUUUGGCGUUUUAAAAAGUGCGAGGAUGCCGGGUCCGCUGCGGAGUCGUUCCUCUUCGCUCUUAGAUCGUGACAUGGUCAUCCGCUGGCGAAGCUUCUGGGUGAACGAAUCAGGAAGCUCUUUGCCAUUUACCCUUGCUAGUGUUUCCAAAAUUUCAUUCGCUUCCUCCAGACGACCCUUCGCCAGCAGCCAGCGUGGAGAUUCUGGAAGAAACCUUUGCCCAUAGUUGGCCUUACUAUUCAAUAACACCGAGAAGCUUACGAGUAUUAAUUUGGCCAUUUGGCAUGUUCUCACUGUUCUCUUUGAAUGUGGGGAGGGCUCAAGUAUUAUGUUUUACGCUACUGACCACCAAUACAGAAAGUACAGUAGGAACGGGGCACUGGUCGUCAGGGCGAGGAGUCGCCAGUCGCGAACCAGAUACGUAACACCUGCCAGCGUACACAAUCCGAUAGUGUAGAAUGUGCAGGUCAUGACAGUGACGAAGGAGCGGUAAUUUGGCCCUACGAGCUCCAGGG
RNAcentral lists this long non-coding RNA (1641 nucleotides) under Neodiprion pinetum (white pine sawfly). RNAcentral's name for it is "uncharacterized LOC124219233". The record is from RNAcentral. Lineage: Eukaryota; Metazoa; Arthropoda; Insecta; Hymenoptera; Diprionidae.